GUGGGGAAUAUUGGACAAUGGGCGAAAGCCUGAUCCAGCCAUGCCGCGUGUGUGAAGAAGGUCUUCGGAUUGUAAAGCACUUUAAGUUGGGAGGAAGGGCAGUAAGUUAAUACCUUGCUGUUUUGACGUUACCGACAGAAUAAGCACCGGCUAACUUCGUGCCAGCAGCCGCGGUAAUACGAAGGGUGCAAGCGUUAAUCGGAAUUACUGGGCGUAAAGCGCGCGUAGGUGGUUUUGUAAGUUGGAGGUGAAAUCCCCGGGCUCAACCUGGGAACUGCCUCCAAAACUGCAUGACUAGAGUACGGUAGAGGGUAGUGGGAUUUCCUGUGUAGCGGUGAAAUGCGUAGAUAUAGGAAGGAACACCAGUGGCGAAGGCGACUACCUGGACUGAUACUGACACUGAGGUGCGAAAGCGUGGGGAGCAAACAGGAUUAGAAACCCGUGUAGUCC
Molecule: ribosomal RNA, 450 nt
Filed under: uncultured bacterium
Lineage: Bacteria
Description: partial 16S ribosomal RNA
Rfam family: Bacterial small subunit ribosomal RNA
Source: RNAcentral